Molecule: microRNA precursor, 89 nt
Filed under: Olea europaea subsp. europaea
Lineage: Eukaryota; Viridiplantae; Streptophyta; Magnoliopsida; Lamiales; Oleaceae
Source: RNAcentral
AGAGUGGAACGCAGCCAGGAAUGGUUUGCCGACUAAAUUUGUGCUUGCCAUUGAUUCGGCAAGUCAUUCUUGGCUAUAUUUUACUCUCU